UACGAUAGAGAUCUUAUUUGAAGAUGAAACCAUCCAAAUAUAUUCACACGAUUUUUUUUAAGGGAAUAUAUUCACAUCGUUCACAGCAAACAUCAAUAGAAAAAACUCUCUAUUAAUAUUUCAAACGACUUAAAUGACUUCCACUAUACAUUGGAAAACUGAAAACAUGUCUAUGCUUAUAUGGUUGACUUACAAUUCCAUGCAUGAUUUGAUUCCAUUGUUUGAUACUCCAUCCAACUCUAACUCUUCUCUAUAACUGAAAAUCAACCAAGCAAAACAGAAAAGAGAAACAAACUAUAAGAACAUGAGUAAACCUUAUCUCGCUUCGACACAAAUCAUGGAUGAUUGUGGGUGCCCAGCCGCUGAUUAUGUAAAAUUACCUUGAAGGUCCAGCUCUGAUGGUUCUGCAAGCAAGUAUCUUGUCUGGAUAUAAUAGUUCUAGGCACAAACUUAAAAACUUUAUUAGAUGCCCCUGAUGCACUGUAAGGCCUUGCAGUGUUAGCUCGAACAGCCCAACUGUAUGGACAUGUAAAUCAGGUAUCGACAUGAAAACAUGGACGAAGAUUCUAUAUAUUUUUGUAGGUGAAAAAUAAAUUUCAGUUAGUAGUUGCCGCAAGUAUAUAUGUAUCGACACAUUCGACAUACAGUAUGAUAUAUCAAUAGUAAAAGUUCAUAUU
RNAcentral lists this long non-coding RNA (677 nucleotides) under Triticum aestivum (bread wheat). RNAcentral's name for it is "long non-coding RNA (TAES_LNC001549)". The record is from RNAcentral. Lineage: Eukaryota; Viridiplantae; Streptophyta; Magnoliopsida; Poales; Poaceae.